CCUACGGGAGGCAGCAGUGGGGAAUAUUGCACAAUGGGGGAAACCCUGAUGCAGCGACGCCGCGUGAGGGAAGAAGUAAUUCGUUACGUAAAGCCCUAUCAGCAGGGAAGAAAAUGACGGUACCUGAGUAAGAAGCCCCGGCUAACUACGUGCCAGCAGCCGCGGUAAUUCGUAGGGGGCAAGCGUUAUCCGGAUUUACUGGGUGUAAAGGGAGCGUAGACGGUGCGCCAAGGCUGGAGUGAAAUGCCGCAGCUUAACGGCGGAACUGCUUUGGAAACUGGCGAACUAGAGUGCGGGAGGGGUAAGCGGAAUUCCUAGUGUAGCGGUGAAAUGCGUAGAUAUUAGGAGGAACACCGGUGGCGAAGGCGGCUUACUGGACCGUAACUGACGUUGAGGCUCGAAAGCGUGGGGAGCGAACAGGAUUAGAUACCCCUGUAGUC
This 440-nucleotide ribosomal RNA is filed under the name uncultured bacterium. Its description in RNAcentral is "partial 16S ribosomal RNA". It matches the Rfam family "Bacterial small subunit ribosomal RNA", at positions 338 to 795 of the family's 1533-position model. The record is from RNAcentral.